This 87-nucleotide transfer RNA is filed under the name Sphagnurus paluster. RNAcentral's name for it is "Tephrocybe palustris tRNA". It matches the Rfam family "tRNA". From Rfam's summary of the family: Transfer RNA (tRNA) molecules are approximately 80 nucleotides in length. Their secondary structure includes four short double-helical elements and three loops (D, anti-codon, and T loops). The record is from Rfam by way of RNAcentral. RNAcentral also lists the same sequence under 1 other name. Lineage: Eukaryota; Fungi; Basidiomycota; Agaricomycetes; Agaricales; Lyophyllaceae.
GCCCGCCUAGCUCAAUCGGAUAGAGCGUCAGACUCUUACCUAGGCAGGUGUAUCUGAAGGCUGCGAGUUCGACCCUCGCGGUGGGCU